This 492-nucleotide ribosomal RNA is filed under the name uncultured bacterium. RNAcentral describes it as "partial 16S ribosomal RNA". It matches the Rfam family "Bacterial small subunit ribosomal RNA", at positions 29 to 507 of the family's 1533-position model. The record is from RNAcentral.
AGUGAACGCUGGCGGUAGGCCUAACACAUGCAAGUCGAACGGCAGCACAGUAAGAGCUUGCUCUUACGGGUGGCGAGUGGCGGACGGGUGAGGAAUACAUCGGCAUCUACUUUUUCGUGGGGGAUAACGUAGGGAAACUUACGCUAAUACCGCAUACGACCUACGGGUGAAAGCAGGGGAUCUUCGGACCUUGCGCGAUUGAAUGAGCCGAUGUCGGAUUAGCUAGUUGGCGGGGUAAAGGCCCACCAAGGCGACGAUCCGUAGCUGGUCUGAGAGGAUGAUCAGCCACACUGGAACUGAGACACGGUCCAGACUCCUACGGGAGGCAGCAGUGGGGAAUAUUGGGCAAUGGGCGAAAGCCUGAUCCAGCCAUACCGCGUGGGUGAAGAAGGCCUUCGGGUUGUAAAACCCUUUUGUUGGGAAAGAAAAGCAGCAGGUUAAUACCCCGCUGUUCUGACGGUACCCAAAGAAUAAGCACCGGCUAACUUCGUG